GGGCCCGCACAAGCGGUGGAGCAUGUGGUUUAAUUCGAUGCAACGCGAAGAACCUUACCAGGGUUUGACAUCCUGCGAAUCUCUUGGAAACGAGAGAGUGCCUUCGGGAACGCAGUGACAGGUGGUGCAUGGCUGUCGUCAGCUCGUGUCGUGAGAUGUUGGGUUAAGUCCCGCAACGAGCGCAACCCACGUCUUUAGUUGCCAGCGAGUCAUGUCGGGAACUCUAACAAGACUGCCGGUGCAAACCGUGAGGAAGGUGGGGAUGACGUCAAAUCAUCACGGCCCUUACGUCCUGGCUACACACGUGCUACAAUGGUCGGUACAGAGAGCAGCCACUACGCGAGUAGGAGCGAA
Molecule: ribosomal RNA, 354 nt
Filed under: uncultured bacterium
Lineage: Bacteria
Description: bacterial SSU rRNA
Rfam family: Bacterial small subunit ribosomal RNA
Source: RNAcentral